GUUACCCUACGGGAGGCAGCAGUGAGGAAUAUUGGUCAAUGGGCUUACGCCUGAGCCAGCCAAGUCGCGUGAGGGAAGACUGCCCUAUGGGUUGUAAACCUCUUUUGUCAGGGAGCAACGCCGGCUACGUGUAGCCGGACUGAGAGUACCUGAAAAAAAAGCAUCGGCUAACUCCGUGCCAGCAGCCGCGGUAAUACGGAGGAUGCGAGCGUUAUCCGGAUUUAUUGGGUUUAAAGGGUGCGUAGGCGGAAUGCCAAGUCAGCGGUAAAAUCGCGGGGCUCAACCUCGCUCCGCCGCUGAAACAG
RNAcentral lists this ribosomal RNA (305 nucleotides) under uncultured bacterium. RNAcentral's name for it is "bacterial SSU rRNA". It matches the Rfam family "Bacterial small subunit ribosomal RNA", at positions 332 to 635 of the family's 1533-position model. The record is from RNAcentral.